RNAcentral lists this ribosomal RNA (406 nucleotides) under uncultured bacterium. RNAcentral describes it as "partial 16S ribosomal RNA". It matches the Rfam family "Bacterial small subunit ribosomal RNA", at positions 30 to 526 of the family's 1533-position model. The record is from RNAcentral.
AUUGAACGCUGGCGGCAGGCCUAACACAUGCAAGUCGAGCGAGCGGCGGACGGGUGAGUAAUGUAUGGGAAUCUGCCCGAUGGAGGGGGAUAACUACUGGAAACGGUGGCUAAUACCGCAUACUAUCAGAUGUGCCCAGAUGGGAUUAGCUAGUAGGUGGGGUAAAGGCUCACCUAGGCGACGAUCUCUAGCUGGUCUGAGAGGAUGAUCAGCCACACUGGGACUGAGACACGGCCCAGACUCCUACGGGAGGCAGCAGUGGGGAAUAUUGCACAAUGGGCGCAAGCCUGAUGCAGCCAUGCCGCGUGUAUGAAGAAGGCCUUAGGGUUGUAAAGUACUUUCAGCGGGGAGGCGUUACUCGCAGAAGAAGCACCGGCUAACUCCGUGCCAGCAGCCGCGGUAAUAC